GAAGCCGGUUUGCUGAACAGAGUUAAACUCGAGGCUCGAGAGGUGACUCCUGGUAAUGAACUGCUCAAAAAUAAAUCGAAAAACUGGGACAAGUGCUGCGGCUCCAUGAAUAGACGUUCACGAAUUGCCUUGGAAUUGACGCGGAUAGUCACGCAGGACGUCUGGAGCCAGAGAAAAGGCUAAAAUCCUUUCACAGAGAGGUAACACCGAGCUGCGGAGACGGUUUGGAGGUCUGAUAGCUUGUACCCCGAUCAAUCGCCCAAAGAAGAAAUGCAAGCUGUCAUUGGAGGUUGAUUCCGACACCCGAAACUGGCCUUUCGCUGUGGUCUUACUGAAGAAUUGAAUAUUCUCGGAGCACCCAUUUGUCCGGACUGUCCGGUGCUACGUGCAGCCUAUAGGCCUGUUUACUGUGUACACACAUACUAUGUAUAUUAAGAAUAACCAUGAAUAAUAGCCCAACUGAAAACUGCUUUGCAAGUGACACAAUCUGUUACAAAUACAACUUUGAAACACUAAUAGACCUAAAGAUUUCAAAAGACUGGGUGUUACUGGAGUCUGCAUAACUGUUGUCUACCUUCGUUCAUUUAUUUCUCUCAGAUUGAACAUGUCACGUUUUUAAUUGAACUGUAUUGAAAUUCGCCUUUACGAGUCGAAUCUGGAUCGAUUCAACGCGGAUUGUAUUUCUCGAGCCUUUUAACAAGUCAGGUAAGAAUAAUGCAAUUCGGUGCCUUCGUUGAUAGCUUAUCUUAUUUUGUACCAUGUAACUGGAUUUCGAACUUUCGACGAUCUGUUUGCGGUUUGUUAUUUCACGAUAAUUUGCAAAUAUUUGGCGUUUCGACAAUUUGACUUACAACAACUCUUAUCGGACAUAUUAACUGGGCCCCACAAUUAUGCUUUUUAACGAGAACUCGCAUCGCAUCUUUUAUGAAUGAUAUAAUAUAGGCUAGUUAACAUUUAAAGUGAAUCCGUAAGGGCAUGAGCCAGGCAGACGGGAGAUUCCAUGCAGCCGCACCCUGUUCAGCGCGAGAUAGAGGAAUUGUUUUCUUUUAGUGAGUGUUUCUAAUUUCUGUAACUUGACCCUCUAAUAUUUUCACUGAAGUCUGACGUCCAAAACGCAAAACGGCAUACCUAUGAAUUUAUGGAUACAAAUUAUCGUUUGGUCACGUGAAAAUAAAAUGGAAAGGGGACGAUUAAAAAAACCAAAACAUUUUUUUAGCUGUGGCCGUUAAGUUCUCGUCUGCAUAUGCAUAUACAACCGCGUGUGCAUGCCUGGGUCAUACAAAACGAGUAAGAUUAGUACGUGAAUACGACAGAUGUCAUGUAAAACCGGUUAAAUAUACAUGUAAAAUAUUUAAUACAACACUUAUUGCCAAGUUAACAAAAAAAACUCUUUAUUGUCUUUAUCGCACAAAUAAUGCCCUAGUUUUUAAAUAACUUCUUAACUCGCAGUUCUUUUCAGUUAUCCCUUACAUUUUCUCUUCCAGGCAACAUGAAUUAUGUAAGUUUAACCGAAUGUUUACCUGCUUCAUUCAGUCAUGCUUAUGCAACCGGGCAGUCCUGGGAAAACUGACUUUUCCUAACUGCUGCCUGCAGAACUGUACUUUAUCCAUGUUUGCCUUGGUUUGAACGCACUUAGCCUGACACGGGUAGAGAAAGGUGUGCGCUGGCCUUUUCUGAGCUCAUGUUAUCUGCCUUUUACCGGAGGGCAAGGCUGGGCCCACGAACAGUACAUUUAGCCGAAAGCAAUUAACUUAAACUGGUAUGUCAUGGCUUUGGAGCCACACCUACAAGUGAGCUCUGCUACAGCUCUGUAAUGGGCAAUGGGAUGUGAUGUGAUGUGAUACUGUAGAUCUGUAAUGGGCUGGGAUGUGCUGUGAAGUGAUGCUGUAGAUCUGUAAUGGGCUGGGAUGUGAUGUGAUGCUGUAGAUCUGUAAUGGGCUCGGAUGUGAUGUGAUGCUGUAGAUCUGUAAUGGGCCAGGAUGUGAUGUGAUGUGAUGCUGUAGAUCUGUAAUGGGCUGGGAUGUGAUGUGAUGCUGUAGAUCUGUAAUGGGCCUGGAUGUGAUGUGAUGCUGUAGAUCUGUAAUGGGCCUGGAUGUGAUGUGAUGCUGUAGAUCUGUAAUGGGCCUGGAUGUGAUGUGAUGCUGUAGAUCUGUAAUGGGCUGGGAUGUGAAGUGAUGCUGUAGAUCUGUAAUGGGCCUGGAUGUGAUGUGAUGCUGUAGAUCUGUAAUGGGCCUGGAUGUGAUGUGAUGCUGUAGAUCUGUAAUGGGCCUGGAUGUGAUAUGAUGCUGUAGAUCUGUAAUGGGCCAGGAUGUGAUGUGAUGUGAUGUGAUGCUGUAGAUCUGUAAUGGGCUGGGAUGUGAUAUGAUGCUGUAUGUGAUGGGCUGGGAUGUGAUGCUCUGAUAAUUGUCAUUUUGAGAUUUGUGUGUGAUGUCACACAGGUUUCUCACAGCCAGACAAGUCAGGGAUGAGACUUGUGUUGUGCACGCGCACUCUCACUCUCACUCACACUCACGCACACUCACACUCGCUCACUCCCUUCUGCUCUUGUGGAGAGACUGCGCAGAAAGAGUGGAAUUUAUACCACAUGUACCAGGCAUCCCAGGAAUGCACAUCUGAGACCGAGAGA
This is a long non-coding RNA of Conger conger (European conger), 2626 nucleotides long. RefSeq lists it as uncharacterized. The transcript has 3 exons. NCBI's taxonomy places the organism in Eukaryota, Metazoa, Chordata, Actinopteri, Anguilliformes, Congridae. The record is from RefSeq and is a predicted model, not a curated record.